Molecule: transfer RNA, 90 nt
Filed under: Felis catus (domestic cat)
Lineage: Eukaryota; Metazoa; Chordata; Mammalia; Carnivora; Felidae
Rfam family: tRNA
About the family: Transfer RNA (tRNA) molecules are approximately 80 nucleotides in length. Their secondary structure includes four short double-helical elements and three loops (D, anti-codon, and T loops). Further hydrogen bonds mediate the characteristic L-shaped molecular structure. tRNAs have two regions of fundamental functional importance: the anti-codon, which is responsible for specific mRNA codon recognition, and the 3' end, to which the tRNAs corresponding amino acid is attached (by aminoacyl-tRNA synthetases). tRNAs cope with the degeneracy of the genetic code in two manners: having more than one tRNA (with a specific anti-codon) for a particular amino acid; and 'wobble' base-pairing, i.e. permitting non-standard base-pairing at the 3rd anti-codon position.
Source: Rfam by way of RNAcentral
GCCUGGGUGGCUCAUUCGGUUAAGCGUCUGACUUCAGCUCAGGUCACGAUCUCACGGCCCCAUCCAUGAGUUCGAGUCCCACCUCAGGCU